This 293-nucleotide ribosomal RNA is filed under the name uncultured eukaryote. RNAcentral's name for it is "partial 18S ribosomal RNA". It matches the Rfam family "Eukaryotic small subunit ribosomal RNA", at positions 6 to 301 of the family's 1831-position model. The record is from RNAcentral.
GGUUGAUCCUGCCAGUAGUCAUAUGCUUGUCUCAAAGAUUAAGCCAUGCAUGUCUAAGUAUAAGCACUUGUACUGUGAAACUGCGAAUGGCUCAUUACAUCAGUUAUAGUUUAUUUGAUAGUACCUUACUACUUGGAUAACCGUGGUAAUUCUAGAGCUAAUACAUGCGUCAAGUCCCGACUUCUGGAAGGGAUGUAUUUAUUAGAUCCAAAACCAACCGGGGCAACCCGUCCUUGGUGAUUCAUGAUAACUUGUCGAAUCGCAUGGCUUUUACGCCGGCGAUGGUUCAUUCA